This 259-nucleotide unclassified non-coding RNA is filed under the name uncultured fungus. RNAcentral describes it as "partial contains 5.8S ribosomal RNA, internal transcribed spacer 2, and large subunit ribosomal RNA". The record is from RNAcentral. Lineage: Eukaryota; Fungi.
AACGCACAUUGCGCUCCCUGGCAUUCCGGGGAGCAUGCCUGUCCGAGCGUCAUUUCUGCCCUCAAGCGCGGCUUGUGUGUUGGGCGUGGUCCCCCUAUGGUUGGGGGACCUGCCCGAAAGGCAGCGGCGACGUUCCGCCCAGGUCCUCGAGCGUAUGGGGCUCUGUCACCCGCUCGGGACGGACCUGCGGGCGUCGGUCAUCCAACCCUUCUUUCCACGGUUGACCUCGGAUCAGGUAGGAGUUACCCGCUGAACUUAA